Molecule: small nucleolar RNA, 135 nt
Organism: Cervus hanglu yarkandensis (Yarkand deer)
Lineage: Eukaryota; Metazoa; Chordata; Mammalia; Artiodactyla; Cervidae
Gene: SNORA70
Rfam family: Small nucleolar RNA SNORA70
About the family: snoRNA U70 seems to be exclusive to mammals and is a member of the H/ACA class of snoRNA which contain H (ANANNA) and ACA box motifs.
Source: Ensembl
UUGCAGGCAGUGAAGCCGACUGUGCUCUCCUCCCCGUGGGGGCCCAGUGUGCAGUGGCCGCAGACAGCAGCCUCCUCGGUGGGGUAUGCAGCCUGUGGCCUGUGCAGGUUGCACUAAGGGGCCUUGGAGACAACU